Molecule: transfer RNA, 74 nt
Filed under: Methanobacterium sp. PtaU1.Bin242
Lineage: Archaea; Methanobacteriati; Methanobacteriota; Methanobacteria; Methanobacteriales; Methanobacteriaceae
Description: tRNA-His
Rfam family: tRNA
About the family: Transfer RNA (tRNA) molecules are approximately 80 nucleotides in length. Their secondary structure includes four short double-helical elements and three loops (D, anti-codon, and T loops).
Source: RNAcentral
GUGGCUGUAGCUCAACGGUUAGAGCGUCCGGCUGUGGCCCGGAAGGUUGCGGGUUCAAGUCCCGUCAGCCACCC